UCCAUCGCGAGGCGGAAUCUGAAAGAAGCCAGCGGCAAAAGUUCGAGUCUACGAACAGAAACUGUAUAAAAGGCGGGGCAACGAGGGUGAUGUUCCAAUGUUCGGGUCGGACCUUGAUCCCGCAGGAGAUUUCCUCCUUAAAUCCGUCGAUACUAACUCUAAUAUAAAGGGAGAGGC
This 177-nucleotide non-coding RNA is filed under the name Chitinophaga ginsengisoli. Lineage: Bacteria; Pseudomonadati; Bacteroidota; Chitinophagia; Chitinophagales; Chitinophagaceae. The record is from RNAcentral.